AUACGUAGGGGGCGAGCGUUGUCCGGAAUGAUUGGGCGUAAAGGGCGCGUAGGCGGCCCGGUAAGUCUGGAGUGAAAGUCCUGUUUUUAAGAUGGGAAUUGCUUUGGAUACUGUCGGGCUUGAGUGCAGGAGAGGUAAGUGGAAUUCCCAGUGUAGCGGUGAAAUGCGUAGAGAUUGGGAGGAACACCAGUGGCGAAGGCGACUUACUGGACUGUAACUGACGCUGAGGCGCGAAAGUGUGGGGAGCGAACAGGAUUAGAUACCCUGGUAGUCCACACUGUAAACGAUGAAUGCUAGGUGUAGGGGGUAUCGACCCCUUCUGUGCCGCAGUCAACACAAUAAGCACUCCGCCUGGGGAGUACGGCCGCAAGGUUGAAACUCAAAUGAAUUGGCGGGG
This 397-nucleotide ribosomal RNA is filed under the name uncultured bacterium. Its description in RNAcentral is "partial 16S ribosomal RNA". It matches the Rfam family "Bacterial small subunit ribosomal RNA", at positions 523 to 918 of the family's 1533-position model. The record is from RNAcentral.